Molecule: non-coding RNA, 111 nt
Filed under: Lentihominibacter hominis
Lineage: Bacteria; Bacillati; Bacillota; Clostridia; Peptostreptococcales; Anaerovoracaceae
Also listed under: 1 other name
Description: FMN riboswitch aptamer (RFN element)
Rfam family: FMN riboswitch aptamer (RFN element)
About the family: The RFN element is a highly conserved domain that is found frequently in the 5'-untranslated regions of prokaryotic mRNAs that encode for flavin mononucleotide (FMN) biosynthesis and transport proteins. This element is a metabolite-dependent riboswitch that directly binds FMN in the absence of proteins.
Source: Rfam by way of RNAcentral
ACCUUUCUUCGGAAAUGAGUUUUUACUCUACUGGCGGUACAGCCCGCGAGCAAUAAGCUAAUUCGGUUUGAUUCCGAAGCCAACAGACAGUCUGGAUGGGAGAAGAAGGCU